This 877-nucleotide ribosomal RNA is filed under the name uncultured bacterium. RNAcentral's name for it is "bacterial SSU rRNA". It matches the Rfam family "Bacterial small subunit ribosomal RNA", at positions 8 to 916 of the family's 1533-position model. The record is from RNAcentral.
AGAGUUUGAUCCUGGCUCAGGAUGAACGCUGGCGGCGUGCCUAACACAUGCAAGUCGAGCGAUCUUCUUCGGAAGAGAGCGGCGGACGGGUGAGUAACGCGUGGGUAACCUGCCUCAUACACAUGGAUAACAUACCGAAAGGUAUGCUAAUACAAGAUGAUAUAGGAGAUUCGCAUGGAUUUCUUAUCAAAGCUCCGGCGGUAUGAGAUGGACCCGCGUCUGAUUAGCUAGUUGGUAAGGUAACGGCUUACCAAGGCGACGAUCAGUAGCCGACCUGAGAGGGUGAUCGGCCACAUUGGAACUGAGACACGGUCCAAACUCCUACGGGAGGCAGCAGUGGGGAAUAUUGCACAAUGGGCGAAAGCCUGAUGCAGCAACGCCGCGUGAGCGAUGAAGGCCUUCGGGUCGUAAAGCUCUGUCCUCAAGGAAGAUAAUGACGGUACUUGAGGAGGAAGCCCCGGCUAACUACGUGCCAGCAGCCGGUAAUACGUAGGGGGCUAGCGUUAUCCGGAUUUACUGGGCGUAAAGGGUGCGUAGGUGGUUUCUUAAGUCAGGAGUGAAAGGCUACGGCUCAACCGUAGUAAGCUCUUGAAACUGGGAAACUUGAGUGCAGGAGAGGAAAGUGGAAUUCCUAGUGUAGCGGUGAAAUGCGUAGAUAUUAGGAGGAACACCAGUAGCGAAGGCGGCUUUCUGGACUGUAACUGACACUGAGGCACGAAAGCGUGGGGAGCAAACAGGAUUAGAUACCCUGGUAGUCCACGCCGUAAACGAUGAGUACUAUGUGUCGGGGGUUACCCCCCUCGGUGCCGCAGCUAACGCAUUAAGUACUCCGCCUGGGGAGUACGCUCGCAAGAGUGAAACUCAAAGGAAUUGACGG